RNAcentral lists this unclassified non-coding RNA (343 nucleotides) under soil metagenome. RNAcentral's name for it is "partial contains 5.8S ribosomal RNA, internal transcribed spacer 2, and large subunit ribosomal RNA". The stretch from base 2 to 117 matches the Rfam family "5.8S ribosomal RNA", at positions 39 to 154 of the family's 154-position model. The record is from RNAcentral.
UAAGAACGUAGCAAAAUGCGAUAAGUAAUGUGAAUUGCAGAAUUCAGUGAAUCAUCGAAUCUUUGAACGCACAUUGCGCCCGCCAGUAUUCUGGCGGGCAUGCCUGUUCGAGCGUCAUUUCAACCCUCAAGCCCUCGGGUUUGGUGUUGGGGAUCGGCGAGCCUUUCUGGCAAGCCGGCCCCGAAAUCUAGUGGCGGUCUCGCUGCAGCCUCCAUUGCGUAGUAGUAAAACCCUCGCAACUGGAACGCGGCGCGGCCAAGCCGUUAAACCCCCAACUUCUGAAUGUUGACCUCGGAUCAGGUAGGAAUACCCGCUGAACUUAAGCAUAUCAAUAAGCGGAGGA